GCCUUUGACCAUACCUAGGCGAAAACACCAGUUCCCGUCCGAUCACUGCAGUUGAGUGAAAACGUCUGAUGGCCUCGUUUGUACUAUGGUUGGAGACAACAUGGGAAUCCGGGGUGCUGUAGGAU
Molecule: ribosomal RNA, 125 nt
Organism: Schizosaccharomyces cryophilus OY26
Lineage: Eukaryota; Fungi; Ascomycota; Schizosaccharomycetes; Schizosaccharomycetales; Schizosaccharomycetaceae
Source: Rfam